This 497-nucleotide ribosomal RNA is filed under the name uncultured bacterium. Its description in RNAcentral is "partial 16S ribosomal RNA". It matches the Rfam family "Bacterial small subunit ribosomal RNA", at positions 28 to 507 of the family's 1533-position model. The record is from RNAcentral.
GAUGAACGCUGGCGGCGUGCCUAAUACAUGCAAGUCGAGCGAACGGACGAGAAGCUUGCUUCUCUGAUGUUAGCGGCGGGCGGGUGAGUAACACGUGGAUAACCUACCUAUAAGACUGGGAUAACUUCGGGAAACCGGAGCUAAUACCGGAUGAUAUUUUGAACCGCAUGGUUCAAAAGUGAAAGACGGUCUUGCUGUCACUUAUAGAUGGAUCCGCGCUGCAUUAGCUAGUUGGUAAGGUAACGGCUUACCAAGGCAACGAUGCAUAGCCGACCUGAGAGGGUGAUCGGCCACACUGGAACUGAGACACGGUCCAGACUCCUACGGGAGGCAGCAGUAGGGAAUCUUCCGCAAUGGGCGAAAGCCUGACGGAGCAACGCGGCGUGAGUGAUGAAGGUCUUCGGAUCGUAAAACUCUGUUAUUAGGGAAGAACAUAUGUGUAAGUAACUGUGCACAUCGUGACGGUACCUAAUCAGAAAGCCACGGCUAACUACGUG